RNAcentral lists this ribosomal RNA (441 nucleotides) under uncultured bacterium. RNAcentral's name for it is "partial 16S ribosomal RNA". It matches the Rfam family "Bacterial small subunit ribosomal RNA", at positions 338 to 795 of the family's 1533-position model. The record is from RNAcentral.
CCUACGGGAGGCAGCAGUGGGGAAUAUUGCACAAUGGGGGAAACACUGAUGCAGCGACGCCGCGUGAGUGAAGAAGUAUUUCGGUAUGUAAAGCUCUAUCAGCAGGGAAGAAGAAAGACGGUACCUGACUAAGAAGCCCCGGCUAACUACGUGCCAGCAGCCGCGGUACUACGUAGGGGGCAAGCGUUAUCCGGAUUUACUGGGUGUAAAGGGAGCGUAGACGGCUGUGCAAGGCUGAAGUGAAAGCCCAGGGCUCAAACCUGGGACUGCUGUGGAAACUGUGGAGCUAGAGUGCUGGAGAGGUAAGUGGAAUUCCUGGUGUAGCGGUGAAAUGCGUAGAUAUUAGGAGGAACACCAGUGGCGAAGGCGGCUUACUGGACAGUAACUGACGUUGAGGCUCGAAAGCGUGGGGAGCAAACAGGAUUAGAUACCCUAGUAGUC